GUAGGGAAUAUUGCACAAUGGAGGAAACUCUGAUGCAGCGACGCCGCGUGAGUGAUGAAGGCCUUCGGGUCGUAAAGCUCUGUCGCAGGGGAAUAACACAAUGAAGGUACCCUGUAAGAAAGGAUCGGCUAACUUCGUGCCAGCAGCCGCGGUAAGACGAGGGAUCCUAGCGUUGUUCGGAAUCAUUGGGCGUAAAGCGGAUGUAGGUGGCUAUGUAAGUCAGAUGUGAAAGCCUCGGGCUCAACCCCAGAAGUGCAUUUGAUACUGCGUAGCUUGAGUGUCGGAGAGGUUACUAGAAUUGUUGGUGUAGUGGUGAAAUACGUAGAUAUCAACAGGAAUACCGGAGGCGAAGGCGGGUAACUGGCCGAACACUGACACUGAGAUCCGAAAGCGUGGGGAUCAAACAGGAUUAGAAACCCUGGUAGUCC
This 428-nucleotide ribosomal RNA is filed under the name uncultured bacterium. RNAcentral's name for it is "bacterial SSU rRNA". It matches the Rfam family "Bacterial small subunit ribosomal RNA", at positions 354 to 796 of the family's 1533-position model. The record is from RNAcentral.